Molecule: ribosomal RNA, 115 nt
Filed under: Lachnospiraceae bacterium
Lineage: Bacteria; Bacillati; Bacillota; Clostridia; Lachnospirales; Lachnospiraceae
Description: partial 16S ribosomal RNA
Rfam family: Bacterial small subunit ribosomal RNA
Source: RNAcentral
UUAAACAUGAGAGUUUGAUCCUGGCUCAGGAUGAACGCUGGCGGUGUGCCUAAUACAUGCAAGUCGAGCGAGUGAGCCCUUCGGGGCGAGCUAGCGGCGAACGGGUGAGUAACAC